Molecule: ribosomal RNA, 699 nt
Filed under: uncultured Pseudomonadota bacterium
Lineage: Bacteria; Pseudomonadati; Pseudomonadota
Description: bacterial SSU rRNA
Rfam family: Bacterial small subunit ribosomal RNA
Source: RNAcentral
GCCUAACACAUGCAAGUCGAACGGCAGCACAGAGGAGCUUGCUCCUUGGGUGGCGAGUGGCGGACGGGUGAGGAAUACAUCGGAAUCUACUCUGUCGUGGGGGAUAACGUAGGGAAACUUACGCUAAUACCGCAUACGACCUACGGGUGAAAGCAGGGGAUCUUCGGACCUUGCGCGAUUGAAUGAGCCGAUGUCGGAUUAGCUAGUUGGCGGGGUAAAGGCCCACCAAGGCGACGAUCCGUAGCUGGUCUGAGAGGAUGAUCAGCCACACUGGAACUGAGACACGGUCCAGACUCCUACGGGAGGCAGCAGUGGGGAAUAUUGGAUAAUGGGCGCAAGCCUGAUCCAGCCAUACCGCGUGGGUGAAGAAGGCCUUCGGGUUGUAAAGCCCUUUUGUUGGGAAAGAAAUCCAACUGGUUAAUACCCGGUUGGGAUGACGGUACCCAAAGAAUAAGCACCGGCUAACUUCGUGCCAGCAGCCGCGGUAAUACGAAGGGUGCAAGCGUUACUCGGAAUUACUGGGCGUAAAGCGUGCGUAGGUGGUUAUUUAAGUCCGUUGUGAAAGCCCUGGGCUCAACCUGGGAACUGCAGUGGAUACUGGAUGACUAGAAUGUGGUAGAGGGUAGCGGAAUUCCUGGUGUAGCAGUGAAAUGCGUAGAGAUCAGGAGGAACAUCCAUGGCGAAGGCAGCUACCUGGAC